UUUUGUUUUGUUUUUUGUUUGUUUGUUUGUUUGCUUUUUGUUUUUUGUUUUUUGUUUUUGCUUUAGAAAAUGUGUUCAGAGCCCUGUUUGUGCCAAGCAUCCAGGCUGAUGUCUUGGUUGUGUCCCACUAGGCUGGAUUUGUUGUACAGAGCAAGGAGUGUGUAUUCAUUUGGCAACAGAUGCAUAUAGAAUUGGCAUGCAUUUGUGGUUGGCUUCCCUGAGCUCUUAUUGAAGCCCUGUUAUGAGACGGGGCAAAUAAACAGCUAUCGAAGAUUGAUCCCACAGAGCGCAGGGACUGACCUAGCUGCUUCAGAGCUUGUUUUUGUAAUAAUAAAACAGUUGUGAGCAUUUCAAAGGUAGGAGGUGAUGCUCACAGCUCUCAGUGUCAGGCAUCUGGAAGCAAAGGAAGCCACUGGGAGCUGCUGUGUACUUGUGACAUCUGCAUGAGCUGUGCUGGCCUGUGGCUUUGGGCACAGGAGUGCCCCGACAUGGCCAAGGCACUGUGCUUGUGGAAAUGCAGCACUGGUCUCUGACCUGCCCUGAACCAUCAGCAACAUUGCCAUGCUAAGCCACUAGAAGCUCCUACUUUUUCUUAAAUUGCAUUUUCUCAGUUGAAAGCUUGGAAUUCAGCAUUGCUGAUUUCUGUAAGAAGUGGUUUGGGAUUUAGUUGUUGCUGGGAGCAGUCCUGGGCUUUUCAUAGCUCCCAGCAUUGCACGGUGGCAGUUUUUCAUAUCUCCUAUUUCUAUCUGUGAGAUGUCAGAAUGGGACAUGUGCCAUGAAUGGGACACAGUUCUUUGUAUAUAAGCAGGUCAGUAACUGGUAAACAUUGCAGAUGCUUUUAAAGAUUUUUUGAAAGGCUGAAAUGGCUCAUCUUGAGAGUUUUUAUGACAGCAUUGUUGUAUUACUCCUGUAUUGUUGUGGUGCCGUUGGGCUUAGCGGUGGUGUUUAAAGUGUUUUCUGAUUAUAUAAUGAACACAAUCUUGCAGAAGAAUACACAGAAACAACUUCGAGCCAGAAAAUGGUUUUGAAAACUAGCACUUUUCUUGCACGUCUUUCAAGUUCUUUCCCUGCACAUUUCUAAAAUGUAGAAAUGGGGGGAAAAAAAGUAGGUUCAUCCUUCACGUAUCCCAUGUGUGGUACUCUGCUGUUUCUCCUUUGUAGUGUCAAUAUUUUUAGGAGGCUGGGGACAGGACUUUGUAGGAACAAAUAAGGGGGACGGGGAUCUCCUUUACUCCAGAUCUUCUUUCUACUGAUUCAAACCGUAGAAGGAUGGAUGCUCGGCAUUUCCCCAUCCAGCAGAUACAGCUGUAGGAUAAAAUCCUGAUGGCAAGCUUUGCUCUGAGUGCUUGCACCAAGUUGCCAGGAGUGCUGAAUAAGGCAGAUGUAACUACUUGUUUUGCAGUACUGCUCUUCCAUUCUCUUUAGAUGCUCUGCAGUAUAAGGCCCAGCUUGACUUGAGAUCAUGGAUUUUUAAUCGGAUGGAUAUCACUCACCAGGACUGCUGUGGAAUAACACAGUGAGGUGAAGUCACACAUCCCAAUGUUAUGCUGGGACUGGGCAAACCCCAGCAGCUGUCUUCCUGCUGUGAGAGCAGCUGAAGUCUAACAAUACUACAACAAACCCCUGAGACUCAGCAGAGAGAGGAAAAGAGCAAUGAAGUCCCAGCAAGCUGCACUGGGGCACUGAGUGCUGUGCUUCCCAGACCAGAUUUGCAGUAUUUAUGGCCACCUGUAGGUGGAGAUCUGCUCCAUGCCACGCCGUGCUGGCACUGGAAUCCUGCUCCCCAUCGCCUGGAUGAGUGAAUUGCAUUUCAGGAUCCACUUCAUUUUCCUGAGCACUCAAGAUAAACUUGACAUUCAUCCAUAUCUGAAGCAGCACGUCUCAGCCUUGUCUUGGUUAGGAAAUGACCCCGCAGAGCAACGCGGCCAGCUGCGUGCUGGGAACGGCGAGCCCGGAGGAGGGCAAGGCGCUUCCCGAAGCCCCACCUCGUGUCUCUGGCAUCAUGCGAGCAUUUGGAUUUGCGUGUGUUUCAUCUGCAAUCACGUUUUCCUGCUAAACACGCACCCGAGCACGCCGCAAGGAAAGUCCAAUCCCCAGAAACACAACCCGCCCGUGUCAGCGCUCAGCGGCAGCUGCGCGGUGCUGCCCGGCUCG
Molecule: non-coding RNA, 2154 nt
Organism: Meleagris gallopavo (turkey)
Lineage: Eukaryota; Metazoa; Chordata; Aves; Galliformes; Phasianidae
Source: RefSeq, a predicted model, not a curated record